Molecule: small nuclear RNA, 142 nt
Organism: Dromiciops gliroides (monito del monte)
Lineage: Eukaryota; Metazoa; Chordata; Mammalia; Microbiotheria; Microbiotheriidae
Product: U11 spliceosomal RNA
Exons: 1
Source: RefSeq, a predicted model, not a curated record
AAAAAGGGUUUCUGUUGUGCAUGGCACAUAUUAUGGGGUAGGGGUAUACUCCACCGUUUUUCAUGCAGAAUCAAAAUCAAGAGACUUCAGAAGCACAAUUUUUGUUCCUGGGCAGCUGGUAAUUGUUGGUCCUUGCACCCUA